This is a long non-coding RNA of Carassius carassius (crucian carp), 530 nucleotides long. RefSeq lists it as uncharacterized. The transcript has 6 exons. Lineage: Eukaryota; Metazoa; Chordata; Actinopteri; Cypriniformes; Cyprinidae. The record is from RefSeq and is a predicted model, not a curated record.
GUGUGAGGCGGCUGAUAGGAAAUGUGAAAAUAGCCAACCACAGUGCAACAUAACAUGCAGACUUCACUCACAUACUGCAUUAACAAAUGAUUGCACGGCUUUACCAAGCAGCAGACAUCAGAGGGAUGUCAUUUUGAAUUCAGCAGAUGAAUGGAUAACAAUGGGUUCCAAUCAGACUACGAGUACCACAUUUUUAGCCACAUUUUCAAUAAUGGUCGUGUUGUCCAUCCUGUGGUGUUUUAUUUUUUUAUUGGUAUUCAGUAUCUGCUUGUUUUUGUUGAAAAUCCCGCAGAACAAAAAACAAAAAUCACAAAUGGAAACUCCGGAAGAUGAGGUCACAGAUGCAGAUGUUUCUUUAAAUGAGGUCUCUGAAACGAGGAAGAAACGACAAAAAAAUAAAAGUUACAAAGAGAGGGUGAACUCAGUGUACUAUGAGUGGUUUAUGGAUCACUCACCACAGAGGAAUCCAAGAAAUUCAGCUCGUACAGCACAAUACUAAUUGUAAACUAAUGGAAUACUCUUUUAAAAGA